This 734-nucleotide ribosomal RNA is filed under the name uncultured Pseudomonas sp. Its description in RNAcentral is "bacterial SSU rRNA". It matches the Rfam family "Bacterial small subunit ribosomal RNA", at positions 21 to 750 of the family's 1533-position model. The record is from RNAcentral. Lineage: Bacteria; Pseudomonadati; Pseudomonadota; Gammaproteobacteria; Pseudomonadales; Pseudomonadaceae.
GGCUCAGAUUGAACGCUGGCGGCAGGCCUAACACAUGCAAGUCGAGCGGAUGACGGGAGCUUGCUCCUUGAUUCAGCGGCGGACGGGUGAGUAAUGCCUAGGAAUCUGCCUGGUAGUGGGGGACAACGUUUCGAAAGGAACGCUAAUACCGCAUACGUCCUACGGGAGAAAGCAGGGGACCUUCGGGCCUUGCGCUAUCAGAUGAGCCUAGGUCGGAUUAGCUAGUUGGUGGGGUAAUGGCUCACCAAGGCGACGAUCCGUAACUGGUCUGAGAGGAUGAUCAGUCACACUGGAACUGAGACACGGUCCAGACUCCUACGGGAGGCAGCAGUGGGGAAUAUUGGACAAUGGGCGAAAGCCUGAUCCAGCCAUGCCGCGUGUGUGAAGAAGGUCUUCGGAUUGUAAAGCACUUUAAGUUGGGAGGAAGGGCAGUAAGUUAAUACCUUGCUGUUUUGACGUUACCGACAGAAUAAGCACCGGCUAACUCUGUGCCAGCAGCCGCGGUAAUACAGAGGGUGCAAGCGUUAAUCGGAAUUACUGGGCGUAAAGCGCGCGUAGGUGGUUUGUUAAGUUGGAUGUGAAAGCCCCGGGCUCAACCUGGGAACUGCAUCCAAAACUGGCAAGCUAGAGUACGGUAGAGGGUGGUGGAAUUUCCUGUGUAGCGGUGAAAUGCGUAGAUAUAGGAAGGAACACCAGUGGCGAAGGCGACCACCUGGACUGAUACUGACACUGAG